UAACUUUAACAGAAUCUUGUUGGUAAUCCAAUAUAUCGGAACGUAGCCUAUCGUCGAUGGUUAAUGCCACGUAUAUCCGGUGGACCAACACGUUUCGCGCGAUAUAGUAAUUCGAUCGUUAAUUUACAGUGGUCGCUGAUGUAUUAAUCGAGUGUUUUUGAUUAUGUUGAACUUUUGUACAGCAUAUUGAAGCUCCAGUCCACAAUGAAGUACAAGCUUUACGUCGCAUUACUAGUUUUUUCUUUUCUAAGCUAUGUCGCCUGUCAAUACAGAACGAAAAAUAAUUAAGGUACUUCGUUGGCGGAACGUGUACAACAAUUAACAGAAAUGGCCAUGAAAAAAUCGGUAUUGAAAUUCAACGGAUCAAAAUUUAAAUAAUACAUUAAAGCUCCUCCGAGGAAUUAUUCUGUUAUAGUUAUGUUUACUGCUAUGGCACCUCAGACACAAUGUCAAAUUUGCCGACAUGCCAAUGAUGAAUUUACAAUAGUGGCGAACUCCUUCCGAUAUUCUCCAUUAUAUUCCAACAAGUUAUUCUUUGUCUCUAUUGACUUUGACGAAGGAUCAGAU
Molecule: long non-coding RNA, 567 nt
Organism: Pogonomyrmex barbatus (red harvester ant)
Lineage: Eukaryota; Metazoa; Arthropoda; Insecta; Hymenoptera; Formicidae
Source: RefSeq, a predicted model, not a curated record